GACACUACAGGUUGUCACCUUGUUUACCCUACAUAAAUUUACACUUUAAGGAGGUGAAAUAAGGGAGAGACUUUGUGAGAGAAACACAUUCAGAGCCUGGAAAACAACUUUAUACAACAUGAGCUCAAAGAGGAUUUUAAUGCUGAGGAAAGUAAUAAACGUCUUCAAAACAAUCCCCACUGUUUCUCAGACACACAGUGAGCAUCUGCACGACUGCUGAACAAAGCCUCGGACUAUCAACCAAAUAGCAUGGUCUAAUCCCAUUAUACACUCUCUCUUUGAAUCCCGGUUUUACACACAACACACACACACACUCUAUGCUACCAGGCUUAUCCACAUCAGAGGGACACACAGUCAUUCAUAAACACGGGUGGAUAAUUAAAAAACACAAUGCUGAUUUUUUUUUUUUUUGUUUGCAAUAAUUAUGUUUGUGUGUAGCAGCAUUCAUGAAUGUUGAUAACAUGUUUAAUAUUUCAUGAAUUCAAAGAUCAGUCACAUUUGUGUUCAGAGAGAUAUCCACAGAGUUAUAAUGAUGUUAAGUAGAAAUUAUUCUCUAUUGAAACUCAGACUGCAACACAUGCAGUGACUCAGUGUAAUGUCAAGGAUAAGAAGAGGCAGUCAGUACUUUUCUCAUCUGUCACUGAAUAAUGCCACGCAGUCCAGAGCAAUUUGCUUUCACAUUAGGAUGCAGAAUAUAAUGAACCAUUCAGAAAUAGAAUUUUUUUUUUGUCUGUUCAGGCUUUUGAUCAUCCAUUAAUUUCCGUACGUAAAGGAAUAGUUUCACAAUUAUUUGCUGUCUUGCCUUUUUCAUCUCAGAAAGAUAUUCUCAUUUGGUAUGGAAAUGACUGGCCAUCAUGGAUUGUUGUAUUUGUUAGAUUUUAGCUGCUGAUGUUCUGUUUGUCAGGCCAGCCAUGAUGGCUGCUCUUUCUAAUGGAAGCCUCAGAGUGAGCCAUUCAUUUUUGUUUAAAAUAAACCUCACUGCUGCAUCAGGAAUCAUAAGAUGAGUCACUUCCUCUGCAGAAGAGGACCAAAUGUUCCUUGAUAAAGUACUUUAUCACAGAUGUUUACAGCUACAGAUGGCAUAUGGAAAAAGGUUAAAUAAUGACUUAAUGGUUUAACAAGUUAGUAAUUCAUUUAUUCAUAUGAACAAAGAUUUUUACAUUAAAUGUUCAAUUUUUACAUAAAUAAUUUCCUCUUUCACAACCUAUUUGAACCUAGUUUCAUCGCCACACAUUGUUCUCACUUUGUCUUCUUCUUUGAUUCUUUUCCUUUCACAGGCUGCUCUGUAUUCCUCCAAGGCAGGAAGUUGUAGGAGACCAGAGCUGUGAGAAGGUGUCACCACUUUGUCCAUGACAUCAUCCACGAUCACAGAGAUGUCGUCCAUGAUCGAAGAAUGAUUGUCGAGGAUGAGGGAGACAUCGUCCAUGACCCGCAGAAACGUGUGCAAAAUCGCAGUGACGGAGAUUCCCGAUUUAAUAGGCAUCGUCCGCGAUCACAAAGACAUUGUCAGUGAUAUCAGAGACAUUGUCCACGUUCACAGAGACGUAGUCCACAAUAUGAGACCAGGACUGAGGCCUCCAGAAUUCAAACUUCAACCAUUAAAUCACAGAGAGAAGAGACAGACAUGAAGACAUUUCCAGAAGGUCUUCAGCUGCUGUCGACAUCUCCUCCUGCAGAGACAAGAACACGUAUGAAUCACAGAAACUGAUCAGUAAAUCUAAACAUACCACGUAUUAUAAACAUCAAAAUAUUUUUUUUGAUGGUUUUUGACAGUACUAUGACAUGCAGCUUAAGAUUAAGUAUUUUAAAGUAGCCAUCUUUCCUUGUUUUCCAUAGACACACACAUUCACACCUCUACGCAGUGUUGGGUUGUGUGGGUUAGGUUCAUGGUAUUUUGCUAUAUCAAAACUCAAAUCCAAUCUAUUGCUGUGUACAUAGUCCUGUUUAUAGUGUUCAUUUUGUUGAGAAUAUGUACAUAUUGCUAUUUGUCAUUUAGCAUCUUGUUUAUGUAAUGCCUUUUUCUAUUUUUGCUGUUCCAAAACUGAAUUUCCCCGCUGUGGGACUUAUGAAGGAUUAUCUUACUCAAAUAUUUCUGAACACUGAAUAUUUUGCCACUGUUAUUGCAUGAAAGUAAAUAUUUUUAGCCAGAGAAUAAUUUUAGCUUAAAUUAUACAUUGCAAGCAAGAACAAGCAAAAUCACUUUUGUGAUAUUAAUUUGAAAAUAAAGACACACAAAUCAAAAGUUA
This is a long non-coding RNA of Lates calcarifer (barramundi perch), 2246 nucleotides long. RefSeq lists it as uncharacterized. NCBI's taxonomy places the organism in Eukaryota, Metazoa, Chordata, Actinopteri, Centropomidae. The transcript is spliced from 4 exons. The record is from RefSeq and is a predicted model, not a curated record.